Molecule: ribosomal RNA, 465 nt
Filed under: Vreelandella stevensii
Lineage: Bacteria; Pseudomonadati; Pseudomonadota; Gammaproteobacteria; Oceanospirillales; Halomonadaceae
Description: partial 16S ribosomal RNA
Rfam family: Bacterial small subunit ribosomal RNA
Source: RNAcentral
CCUACGGGGGGCUGCAGUGGGGAAUAUUGGACAAUGGGGGGAACCCUGAUCCAGCCAUGCCGCGUGUGUGAAGAAGGCCCUCGGGUUGUAAAGCACUUUCAGUGAGGAAGAACGCCUGGUGGUUAAUACCCAUCAGGAAAGACAUCACUCACAGAAGAAGCACCGGCUAACUCCGUGCCAGCAGCCGCGGUAAUACGGAGGGUGCGAGCGUUAAUCGGAAUUACUGGGCGUAAAGCGCGCGUAGGUGGCUUGAUAAGCCGGUUGUGAAAGCCCCGGGCUCAACCUGGGAACGGCAUCCGGAACUGUCAAGCUAGAGUGCAGGAGAGGAAGGUAGAAUUCCCGGUGUAGCGGUGAAAUGCGUAGAGAUCGGGAGGAAUACCAGUGGCGAAGGCGGUCUUCUGGACUGACACUGACACUGAGGUGCGAAAGCGUGGGUAGCAAACAGGAUUAGAUACCCCUGUAGUC